AAAACGACUCUCGGCAACGGAUAUCUAGGCUCUCGCAUCGAUGAAGAACGUAGCGAAAUGUGAUACUUGGUGUGAAUUGCAGAAUCCCGCGAAUCAUCGAGCUUUUGAACGCAAGUUGCGCCCGAAGUCUUUCGGCCGAGGGCACGUCUGCCUGGGUGUCACGC
This 164-nucleotide ribosomal RNA is filed under the name Quercus afares. RNAcentral's name for it is "5.8S ribosomal RNA". It matches the Rfam family "5.8S ribosomal RNA". From Rfam's summary of the family: 5.8S ribosomal RNA (5.8S rRNA) is a component of the large subunit of the eukaryotic ribosome. It is transcribed by RNA polymerase I as part of the 45S precursor that also contains 18S and 28S rRNA. Lineage: Eukaryota; Viridiplantae; Streptophyta; Magnoliopsida; Fagales; Fagaceae. The record is from RNAcentral.